UAGGGAAUCUUCGGCAAUGGACGAAAGUCUGACCGAGCAACGCCGCGUGUGUGAAGAAGGUUUUCGGAUCGUAAAACUCUGUUGUUAGAGAAGAACAAGGACGUUAGUAACUGAACGUCCCCUGACGGUAUCUAACCAGAAAGCCACGGCUAACUACGUGCCAGCAGCCGCGGUAAUACGUAGGUGGCAAGCGUUGUCCGGAUGUAUUGGGCGUAAAGCGAGUGCAGGCGGUUUCUUGAGUCUGAUGUGAAAGCCCCCGGCUCAACCGGGUAGGGUCAUUGGAGACUGGGAGACUUGAGUGCAGAAGAGGAGAGUGGAAUUCCAUGUGUAGCGGUGAAAUGCGUAGAUAUAUGGAGGAACACCAGUGGCGAAGGCGACUCUCUGGUCUGUAACUGACGCUGAGGCUCGAAAGCGUGGGGAGCAAACAGG
Molecule: ribosomal RNA, 429 nt
Filed under: Gemmatimonadota bacterium
Lineage: Bacteria; Pseudomonadati; Gemmatimonadota
Description: Gemmatimonadetes bacterium partial 16S ribosomal RNA
Rfam family: Bacterial small subunit ribosomal RNA
Source: RNAcentral